UCCAGCAGCCGCGGUAAUACGUUCCCGGGCCUUGUACACACCGCCCGUCACACCACGGAAGCAAGCAACACCCGAAGCCGGUGGCCUAACCCUCUGGGAGGGAGCCGUCGAAGGUGGGGCUCGUGACUGGGGUGAAGUCGUAACAAGGUAGCCGUACCGGAAGGUGCGGCUGGAUCACCUCCUUUCUAGGGAAGCCUCCAGGAUUGGAGCGCCUGGUCCGCCUUCGCGCCGCACAAACGCGGCGUGGCGAGCGGCCAGGUCCUAGCAAUGUCGACCGGAUCUGCGACGCAGGCGCGCGCCACUCUUGGCGGGCGUCUCGCAUGCUGUUGAGUUUUGAGAGACCGGCGGCCAGUCCGGCCGGCGCUUCUCUUGCGCGGUCCUUGAAAACUGCACAGUUUUUCCAAUGUAACGGGUAUCACCGCGUGCUUCGGCGCUUGCGCACCGGAGUACGUGAUCACCGUCAAGAUAAGAAGGGCACACGGUGGAUACCUAGGCACACAGAGAAUAGAG
RNAcentral lists this small RNA (510 nucleotides) under uncultured Patulibacter sp. Its description in RNAcentral is "bacterial LSU rRNA". The stretch from base 1 to 185 matches the Rfam family "Bacterial small subunit ribosomal RNA", at positions 1348 to 1533 of the family's 1533-position model. Lineage: Bacteria; Bacillati; Actinomycetota; Thermoleophilia; Solirubrobacterales; Patulibacteraceae. The record is from RNAcentral.